GACGAAGGGGGCUAGCGUUGUUCGGAAUUACUGGGCGUAAAGCGCGUGUAGGCGGUUGCCCAAGUCGGGUGUGAAAGCCUUGAGCUCAACUCAAGAAAUGCACUCGGUACUGGGUGACUAGAGGACCGGAGAGGAUAGUGGAAUUCCCAGUGUAGUGGUGAAAUACGUAGAGAUUGGGAAGAACACCAGUGGCGAAGGCGGCUAUCUGGACGGUUUCUGACGCUAAGACGCGAAAGCGUGGGGAGCGAUCCGG
RNAcentral lists this ribosomal RNA (253 nucleotides) under uncultured bacterium. RNAcentral's name for it is "partial 16S ribosomal RNA". It matches the Rfam family "Bacterial small subunit ribosomal RNA", at positions 524 to 776 of the family's 1533-position model. The record is from RNAcentral.